Molecule: ribosomal RNA, 338 nt
Filed under: Acinetobacter baumannii
Lineage: Bacteria; Pseudomonadati; Pseudomonadota; Gammaproteobacteria; Moraxellales; Moraxellaceae
Description: bacterial SSU rRNA
Rfam family: Bacterial small subunit ribosomal RNA
Source: RNAcentral
CUUACGGCCAGGGCUACACACGUGCUACAAUGGUCGGUACAAAGGGUUGCUACACAGCGAUGUGAUGCUAAUCUCAAAAAGCCGAUCGUAGUCCGGAUUGGAGUCUGCAACUCGACUCCAUGAAGUCGGAAUCGCUAGUAAUCGCGGAUCAGAAUGCCGCGGUGAAUACGUUCCCGGGCCUUGUACACACCGCCCGUCACACCAUGGGAGUUUGUUGCACCAGAAGUAGCUAGCCUAACUGCAAAGAGGGCGGUUACCACGGUGUGGCCGAUGACUGGGGUGAAGUCGUAACAAGGUAGCCGUAGGGGAACCUGCGGCUGGAUCACCUCCUUAACGAA